UGGUUGGUGGGGAACUUCAAUUUCAAAUGGUAAGUCGAUACGACAACCUGAAGAGCAUUGAGGCCGGGUCAGCUAAGGAUUGCAUUGUAGGCGGAUGGCGCCUUCACCACCAAGAAAUUCACCAGGGCCCUAGACUGCCUUGGAUAUUGACCCGCGGCCACAGUCAAAGCUAUCAUCCCUUCUGUCGGGACGGUAUCACCAGUAAACCCUAUCAAGGGGGAGCAAAUCGGUCUCAGAGACCGCCAAGAGUGGACAUUCUUGAAAAGGCAUUGUAGAACAAGAUGUCGGCCGAACUCCCAUUGUCGACGAGAAUGCGACGGACGUCGUAAUUUGCUAUGUUCA
RNAcentral lists this long non-coding RNA (342 nucleotides) under Elaeis guineensis (African oil palm). RNAcentral's name for it is "long non-coding RNA (EGUI_LNC056174)". Lineage: Eukaryota; Viridiplantae; Streptophyta; Magnoliopsida; Arecales; Arecaceae. The record is from RNAcentral.